GAUGAACGCUGGCGGCGUGCCUAAUACAUGCAAGUCGAGCGAACGGACGAGAAGCUUGCUUCUCUGACGUUAGCGGCGGACGGGUGAGUAACACGUGGAUAACCUACCUAUAAGACUGGGAUAACUUCGGGAAACCGGAGCUAAUACCGGAUAAUAUUUUGAACCGCAUGGUUCAAUAGUGAAAGACGGUUUUGCUGUCACUUAUAGAUGGAUCCGCGCUGCAUUAGCUAGUUGGUAAGGUAACGGCUUACCAAGGCAACGAUGCGUAGCCGACCUGAGAGGGUGAUCGGCCACACUGGAACUGAGACACGGUCCAGACUCCUACGGGAGGCAGCAGUAGGGAAUCUUCCGCAAUGGGCGAAAGCCUGACGGAGCAACGCCGCGUGAGUGAUGAAGGUCUUCGGAUCGUAAAACUCUGUUAUUAGGGAAGAACAUAUGUGUAAGUAACUGUGCACGUCUUGACGGUACCUAAUCAGAAAGCCACGGCUAACUACGUG
This 497-nucleotide ribosomal RNA is filed under the name uncultured bacterium. RNAcentral's name for it is "partial 16S ribosomal RNA". It matches the Rfam family "Bacterial small subunit ribosomal RNA", at positions 28 to 507 of the family's 1533-position model. The record is from RNAcentral.